AUAACAUCAUAAGUCUAUUGUGUGAACAUCGAUAGCUCAUUGGAAUUUGACCCUUAAGUGCUAACGACGAUCUCUUAUUGGAGGGAGUAAGCUUAAGGCAAUUUGAGCAAUAUCAAAUUUGGCGCCGUUAGCGAAGUUCUCUUUUAGUUUACCAUUAGACUAGGUGUCCUUUUAAGUCUAGAUACUUCUUUUCUAUCACCUACUCACGUGUUUCAUGUACCUUCAGAUUGAUAAUCACGUUUCCAUGGCAGACUUUCACGGCUGUGUCGACCAACACCACUGCAGAACUAGACGGCUACAAUAGGCGAUUUUAACAGAACUGAUCUCUUAUACACCAACCGAUCAGCAUUUAAGCUACCUCCAUUUGAAAGAGAAGACUUUGCUAUACACCCUGCCUAUUAUGAUCUUGUAUCUAGAGGAAAGUUUAGAGGAUCUCCUGAUGAAACACCAUUAGAUCAUUUGGAAGUCUUCGAAGACAUAGUUUCCUCUAUCAAAGUAGAAGCUGAAGAAAGUAGAUGCAUUCUUUGUACCAGCUGAUUACCUUCUUUGCAAACUCUUCCCCCACUCCUUCGCGAGCAGAGGAACAUCAUGGUUGCGUCAACUGGAACCAGCUUUUAACCAAUUGGACUGAUACAAAGAAUGCAUCCAUGAAACACUUGUUUGCAAAUCUCUUCGUUCACUCAGGCUCUAGCCGAGUCCCUUAGUGCAUCUUGGCUACUGAUAGUAUGUUUUUAGUCAAUUAUCCUAAAACACCAAUCAUGUCAUUGUAGUAUUUUAGGUUGUCAAUCCAAAUGGGUGUGAUGCUAACAAUCAAGAUGUGAUCAGAAGUCACUAAGUCAAGCCAAGCAUAACAGGUUUUGGUGUGUUCUAGCAGUCCUAAGUGAACAUGUAAAAAACAGAAAAUCAAACAGAAACAGUAAAACGCUCGACCAACACAGCUCUUUGCAGAGCACUGGGUGAGGUCGAGUGACAGGUCGAGUAACAGACAGAAGAUGAAACAGGGAUACUCGACUGCACAGUCUGUUGCCAGACAACAGGGUGGUCGAGUAUCAGGUCGAGUAACCGUAAAGAAUUGUAGAAACUAAGCAACAGAUGACAGGAUGCAGUACACAGUAGUAGAGUAAACAAUAAAAUCAAUCAGAUAAAGAAUUCUCAGUAUGCUAGGUGAUUGAGUAUUGAUUGAUAGAGCCCUUCUGGAUUAGUUGUUCUUAAUGCCUAUUGCUUUCUGAUCAACUGGAAUUUGAGCCCAGACAUUUCCGCGCCCAAAAAGUGUUCGAUGAAAUGUCUGAACCACUAAUUCCAGAGAUUCGUGACCCUGUACCUGUUGAUUCGUAAUGCCUGUUAGGUUAGCUCUCGUCAAUGGUGAUUGAGUCUGGGACUAGGUUAACUUGAGAGUCUCUAUUGCGGUGGCACUUAGAUUUGGUUAAUGAACUUGUUGUCUAGGGUUAAGGAAACGAAACUACUCAAUUACCCCAUCCUCGGGAAUUCUUUAUCUGAUUGAAUUCUUUGUUUACUCUACUGUUGUUUACUGCAUCUUGUUAUCUGUCGCUUAAUUUCUGCAGUUCUUUUUUGUUACUUGACCUCAUACUCGACCACCCAGUUGUCUGGCAACAGACUAUGCAGUCGAGUAUCUGAGUUUUAUUUUCUGUCUAUUACUCGACCUGUCACUCGACCUCACCCAGUGCUCUACAAAGAGCUGUGUUGGUCGAGUGUUUUGCUGUUUUUGCUUGAAUUUCUGUUUUCUGCAUGUUCACUUAGAACUGCUAGAACACACCACAACCUGUUAUUGCUUGGCUUGACUUAGUGACUUCUAAUCACAUCUUGAUUGUUAGCAUCACACCCAUUUGGAUUGACAACCUUCAGUAUUACAACGACAUGAUAGUGCUUUAGGUUUAAUUGACUU
This 1903-nucleotide small RNA is filed under the name Arabidopsis thaliana (thale cress). Its description in RNAcentral is "ATSL033470". The record is from RNAcentral. Lineage: Eukaryota; Viridiplantae; Streptophyta; Magnoliopsida; Brassicales; Brassicaceae.